This 253-nucleotide ribosomal RNA is filed under the name uncultured bacterium. RNAcentral describes it as "partial 16S ribosomal RNA". It matches the Rfam family "Bacterial small subunit ribosomal RNA", at positions 524 to 776 of the family's 1533-position model. The record is from RNAcentral.
UACGGGGGGGGCAAGCGUUGUUCGGAAUUACUGGGCGUAAAGGGUUCGUAGGUGGCCCGCUAAGUCACACGUGAAAUCCCUCAGCUUAACUGGGGAACUGCGUCUGAGACUGGCGAGCUCGAGUGCAGGAGAGGAACGCGGAAUUCCAGGUGUAGCGGUGAAAUGCGUAGAUAUCUGGAGGAACACCGGUGGCGAAGGCGGCGUUCUGGACUGCAACUGACGCUGAGGCGCGAAAGCUAGGGUAGCAAACGGG